GACUAGAUAACAUAAUGGGAAUGUAAUGGAUUGCAAAUCUAUAAAUGAGUGUUCGAUUCACUCUCUAGUCU
RNAcentral lists this transfer RNA (71 nucleotides) under Microconidiobolus nodosus. RNAcentral describes it as "Conidiobolus nodosus tRNA-Cys". It matches the Rfam family "tRNA". Rfam says of the family: Transfer RNA (tRNA) molecules are approximately 80 nucleotides in length. Their secondary structure includes four short double-helical elements and three loops (D, anti-codon, and T loops). Lineage: Eukaryota; Fungi; Entomophthoromycota; Entomophthoromycetes; Entomophthorales; Conidiobolaceae. The record is from RNAcentral.